Molecule: long non-coding RNA, 2163 nt
Filed under: Gossypium barbadense (sea-island cotton)
Lineage: Eukaryota; Viridiplantae; Streptophyta; Magnoliopsida; Malvales; Malvaceae
Description: long non-coding RNA (GBAR_LNC000754)
Source: RNAcentral
UCAAAAUAAAAUCACUAUUAUAUAAUCAUUUAACUACAUAUACUAAUAUUUUAAAAAUAAUAAUUAAAAAUAAAAGUAAAGCUUGAAACAACAUGAAAUAAAAAUAUAAAAUUGAGUAAAAGACAAAUCGAACCUAAGACUCAAAAAUAAAACCACUAAUACUUAACCAUCUAACCAAAAGAGUUUAUAUGUCAAAAAAUUUAAAAGCACAUUCUGUAAGAAACAUUUUCUAUUUCUCUUUCCAAAAUCGAUCUAUUUCCUAAAUAACAUUUUCUUAUAUAUUUUUAAAAUCAGCAUUUUUUUUUAAAUUUAGCCAAAGAUUAAGACUAAAUUAGAUUUAGGGUUGGCGUCUAUUUAGUUGUCUAAAUUCAUUAUUAGCCAGAGUGCUUAAAGCCAAAUAUUUCCCACAUUCAAAUUUUCUAAAUGCACAACUGGGGAGCUUACCUUCAUUUACCUAGAGGAGCAUCUGGGCAACAAAGGGUCUCCUUCAAGAUGGGCUUUGUUGGAGAGUAGGUAGAAGUACUAAGAUUUCUAUAUAGAACGAUUGCUGGAUUCCAAGGAGUGUUGCAGUUGGUUGGCAAAAUAGAGUAGAAAAUAGUGAUUUGCAAUUAGUCUCGGAUCUAAUCGAUAGCUUAACUAGAACAUGGAAAAGGGAGUUAGUGAACAGUACUUUUUAUACGGAAACUGCCCAAAAGAUUUUGCAGAUCCCUUUGGCAGAAGCGGAGCAUGAAGAUUUCCAAGUGUGGAAAGAGGAACUUUUCGGAGUUUUCUCAGUACGAAGUGCCUAUAAACUAUUACAAUGUGCUAGCAUGGAUCUUAAUAGUUAUUUAUUGCAGACCGAAACUAAAGAUUUCUUUAGAAAACUAUGGGAUAUACAACUACCAUAAAAAAUUGCAAUAACAGUAUGGCGGAUCUACUGGAAUUUCAACCCUAAAAUGGCCAAUCUAAGUUGCAAGAGAGUGGCUAACAACAUCAUCUGCCCUCGCUGUGGUGUUGGGGAAGAUGAUAGUUAUCAUGUCUUUAGACAGUGUUCUGCAGUCAGAAAAAUAUGGUCAAGUCUUAAUCUCUCUUGGGGUAUAUCCUAUAUGGAUCAAAAUAUUGGUGAAUGGCUUACCUGGUUUUUUGCAAGAGGUACCAAGGAACAGUGCAGGAUCUUUUGUUGUGCAUCGUGGCUCAUAUGGAGCUCAAGGAACCAGUUUGUUCAUGAAAAGAAAUCCAUUUCAGUACGGGAUCUAGUUGAGAAAAUCAGAAGCUAUUUAACUGAACUGGAAGGGAUCAGAGAUAAGAAACUUGCCUCUAUUACCGAAAACACCCAUAGUCAAAUAGGGGAGACAUCGAGAUCAACGGUAUUGUUUGAUGCAGCCUUUGAUGGGAGAAAUUUUCGAUCGGCCUCGGGGGUAGUGGUUCGGGACCAGAUGGGGGUAACGACACUCCAUGAAAAUAUCUCCUCCUCAUUCGUAGCCGAAGCUCAUACAGGGUUAGAGGCCAUCAAGUUAGUAACAUCAAUGGGUUUAUUUUCAGUAAUAAUAAAGGGAGACUCGAAAACAGUUAUUAAGAAAUGUAAAUCGCAAGAAGUAGACAAAUCCGUUCUUGGAGCGAUCAUUCGAGAUAUUCAGAGAAAAAGAGACAGUCUUCAAGAUGUUAUUUUCUAGUUUAUUCCUAGAUCGGAAAAUGUUCAAGCAAAUAACCUAGUGAAAGGAGCACUAGAGAAAAGGGAAGCAUCAUACCUGGUGAGGGAAGGGAGGAGUCACAGCGCAAUAGUUCCGGAAAGAAGAUGGAGAGAAGAACCGGAUUGAUUUGGUUUUUGAAAUGGGGAAAUGAGAAGUCAUGAUAGCUAAUAUCCGGAAAUUCUUAGAAAAGCUAUCUUGGAAUCGGUGUGGCUAUUGACAGGAAGAGACGAUCGAUGUAAUGCUGGCUAGGCUAUCUUUCGAUUUGACUGGGUUUAUUAAUUAGUUUUACUUUUUCUCCAGAUAUUUUAGUUUUUGCACUAAGUUUCCUGUUUUUUGGUUUUUUUCAAUGUUCGGGCUCCUUCUUGUAGUCAAAAGAAAAGCCCAUUUUUAUUUAUUUAUGUUUUUCAUAUGGUCCUGAGCCCAGAGGUUAAUUGUUUUGGGUUUUGUUUUUAAUGUUCUCAAUAAAUAAAAGCCCAGUCUUUAUAUUCCAAAA